UAUAUCCAAAAUUGAAAUAGAGUCUCAGUAAUCGGAUACUAAUAUUUAAAAAAUAUGAAAAGAAAACACAGAAAUCCUCCGUAAAGCUUUAGCGCUUUCAUUACAUCUUCAGAAGCUUUACAAAAAUGUAUACAUAGCAGUAUCAUAGUAACAGUGAUUAUGACGUCAAAGUAAGCGGAACGUUAAAUGUCUAUAUUGUGACGUCAUGGAUAAUGUACAACAAUGAUCUGGAAAAAGUACGGGAAAAUCAUAGGCAAUUAUAAAAGACUAUUAAGUUUUGGCUUUAGCAUACAUGCCAACUUUCCCGAUUUAGGCGGGAUCUUCCCGAUUUUACCCUCCGGUCCCGCUUUCCCGAUCGGGAAAGCAAAAUUACCCUAAAAUCCCGAUUUGAAAUUUUUUUUCGACCAAAAUUUCCGAUUUCACGAUUGAAAACGAGUUUGAAAGCGGGAUAAUCGUGAAAUCUCGUGACCAGAAUUGGAAAUCCCGCGUCAUUUCUGAACUGGCCAAUCAGAAAUCGGGACAAUAGUCAGCCAUUGCUGUUUACCUGUGUUGCAUGGUGUCGGGUUGGUCUGCCUGUGUCGGGGUGUUUAUUGGACAGUACGAAGCAUGUUUUGAUAGUAAUUAAUCGGGAAGACGGAUUUCAAAUUGACCUAUCCUUUACACAAACGUGAAUGACAACGAUGCUAGUGUCACCACCAAACAAUCGGACAUUCCGCCUCUCGCUGACAGCAUCCAAAAUUUGCAAUAAGAUGUCAUGGGUGCAAAGGUUUUGUUCGCAAACUUCAUAGCAGGGCAGAUCACUCCUUUUUUGAUUGCAAUGCAGAUUAUUCCACCAGUCUCUGCAAGCCCAUGUUUACAAACAAGCAAGAUCGCCUUUGCAGUCGUACCUAAAUGCAUGUGCUUUAAUUUAAAUUUUGAUAUAUAGACCGGCCAAUGUUUAUUGUAUGGUGUAAAAGGAUGCAACCUUAAAUAUUAUUUGAUAUUAUGUAUGUGACUUGUUGGAGAAGAUUUUUUGCUGAAUAGAUGAUUUUAAUAAAAUAUUAAUGUAUA
Long non-coding RNA from Ostrea edulis (European flat oyster), 1050 nucleotides. RefSeq lists it as uncharacterized. NCBI's taxonomy places the organism in Eukaryota, Metazoa, Mollusca, Bivalvia, Ostreida, Ostreidae. The transcript has 2 exons. The record is from RefSeq and is a predicted model, not a curated record.